This 252-nucleotide ribosomal RNA is filed under the name uncultured bacterium. RNAcentral's name for it is "partial 16S ribosomal RNA". It matches the Rfam family "Bacterial small subunit ribosomal RNA", at positions 524 to 776 of the family's 1533-position model. The record is from RNAcentral.
UACAGAGGGUGCAAGCGUUGUUCGGAAUUAUUGGGCGUAAAGCGCGUGUAGGCGGCUUUGCAAGUCGGGUGUGAAAUCCCUCAGCUCAACUGAGGAAGUGCGCCCGAAACUGCAGAGCUUGAGUACCGGAGAGGAUGGCGGAAUUCCCCAAGUAGAGGUGAAAUUCGUAGAUAUGGGGAGGAACACCGGUGGCGAAGGCGGCCAUCUGGACGGAUACUGACGCUGAGACGCGAAAGCGUGGGAGCAAACAGG